UGCGGGGUAGAGCAGUUGGUAGCUCGUCGGGCUCAUAACCCGGAGGUCGGAGGUUCGAGUCCUUCCCCCGCUA
Molecule: transfer RNA, 73 nt
Filed under: Salinivirga cyanobacteriivorans
Lineage: Bacteria; Pseudomonadati; Bacteroidota; Bacteroidia; Bacteroidales; Salinivirgaceae
Also listed under: 3 other names
Rfam family: tRNA
About the family: Transfer RNA (tRNA) molecules are approximately 80 nucleotides in length. Their secondary structure includes four short double-helical elements and three loops (D, anti-codon, and T loops).
Source: Rfam by way of RNAcentral